This 600-nucleotide ribosomal RNA is filed under the name Mixia osmundae. Its description in RNAcentral is "eukaryotic LSU rRNA". It matches the Rfam family "Eukaryotic large subunit ribosomal RNA", at positions 47 to 644 of the family's 3401-position model. Lineage: Eukaryota; Fungi; Basidiomycota; Mixiomycetes; Mixiales; Mixiaceae. The record is from RNAcentral.
UAAGCGGAGGAAAAGAAACUAAUCAGGAUUUCCCUAGUAACGGCGAGUGAAGAGGAAAGAGCUCAAAUUUGAAAUCUGCUUGCCGUGUUGGCUGAGUCGAAUUGUAAUCUCGAGAGGCAUGCUCUGUGCUGGACCGUGUCAGAGUCUGUUGGAACACAGCGUCAAAGAGGGUGACAACCCCGUUCGUGACACGGAUCGACCAGUGCUCUGUGAGCGGCCCUCCAAGAGUCGAGUUGUUUGGGAAUGCAGCUCAAAGGGGGUGGUAAAUUCCAUCUAAAGCUAAAUAUGGGCGAGAGACCGAUAGCGAACAAGUACCGUGAGGGAAAGAUGAAAAGCACUUUGGAAAGAGAGUUAACAGACGUGAAAUUGUUGAAAGGGAAACGAUUAAAGUCAGACACGCCUGCGAGAGUUCAGUCUUUCCGGCAACCGGGGGACGGACGCUCUCGCGUUUGGCGGGCCAGCGUCGGUUGGCAGUCGGACUGGAAAAGGAUGGCAUGGAAUGUAGCAUGGGCUCCGGCACGUGUGUUUAUAGACUUGCUACCGAUACAGUCCGGCCGACCGAGGAACGCCGUCGUAGGACGCUGGCAGAAUGGCUUUAAA